CUCUCCUUUGCUCCAAGGGCGGGAUAAUAUAAGCCAUAAUAUAAGCCGGGAUACUUUGCUCCAAGGACGGUCUAAUAAGAAAGACGAAUAAGAUAUUCAGAUGUUUCUUAUCAAGUCAUAAAUAGGUUUGAAGGGUUGUGUUGGGCAUAGAGAAAAUGGUCAGAGGAGAGAGAGCUCGGUUCAACAAGUGGAGGUCGAGGCCGAAAGGAAGCAUAUUCCUACACGCCGCUAAACUCACCUUGCUUCGCUCGUGUCUCCUUAGCACUCACUGUUAAUCGAGUCUUCCAUGCCCAACGACCUCGUGGAGUUCACUCCUUCCCUCCUCAUCGAUGACGCUGCCUUCCCUCUCUAUCCCUAUAUUCCAGUACAACGGCGGAAU
Molecule: long non-coding RNA, 379 nt
Organism: Musa acuminata AAA Group (dessert banana)
Lineage: Eukaryota; Viridiplantae; Streptophyta; Magnoliopsida; Zingiberales; Musaceae
Exons: 2
Source: RefSeq, a predicted model, not a curated record